Ictalurus punctatus (channel catfish) is the source of this 386-nucleotide long non-coding RNA. The record is from Ensembl. NCBI's taxonomy places the organism in Eukaryota, Metazoa, Chordata, Actinopteri, Siluriformes, Ictaluridae.
CAUUAUUUUUACCUCCUAUUGUAUGUAGUGCACUCGUGUAGGGAGUAGGGUACAGUUUGGUUAUGCAGCAGUCGUCGCCAUCGCGCAACGUUACAGGUGUAUAAACGUCAGGAGGAGAAAAAAAAUAACACGGAAGUGACGUGGACGCUCACGCGACUUCGAAUCAGAUUAAACCAUCGUAUUCACGUAAAAAAAAACACCACCACCUAAGCAGGAGGCGAGCUGCUUCCAGACGACGGGAGAGGAGCAGGAUUUAAUCGGUGAAGUGGAAAGUGCAGAGAGCUUUGAAUCUGAGCUUUCUUCAGAUGUAGCUGUAAGACAUGCUCACCAGCCUCACCACAGCAUCAGAGCCACUGAAGACGCAGUGGAGAAGUUUUAUUUUGAAG